CCCCUUUGCUGACGGUUCCGAAAGGCAGGAGAAAACGAUUUCCUCGCUUGCUUUCUCUGAAGCAAGAAAUUCGUGUUUUUCUAUCAGCCUUACUUCCACAUUCUGCUUCACAACCCGCGGAAGAACGUUUAGUGCUGUUUUCCUACCAAGAGCCUCAGCGCCAGACAGGCCUGCGCCGGGCGCUGCAACCCACCCGCAGGAAAUUUGGGCUGCGGGCCCCCUCCGGCUGCCUCACUGCCCUGGGGUCUGAGAAGACUCCUUCCCGACCGCAGGCAUCCCGACUGAAGUCUGCACUGGCUCAGAGCCGGUGGUCCCCGGCCGCUCGGCCCAGCACCCGCCGCAGACAAGCCGCGAGAGCUUCGGACAUGAAGUAAACAGGCCGAGAGUCCUGUGUGGGAGUGAGCUGGGGCGAGUGUGUCCAUCCCUGUUGACCGCGCUUUGACACUGACAGGAAGAAGCCGGCCGCUCGCCCUGUAGGAACCUCCUUGCCUGGGGUCCAGUUCUCCCUUUUCACUGCUGGUCAGCCCAAGCGCAGGAACAAGGAACCUGAGAGGCAGCCAGGACUCAUCAGCUGUUUCCCUUGAAAGGGAAACCAUGUUAACUUAGCAACAUCCCAGCCCAUGGACACCAAGGAGUCCUAUCUACAGUCUGCCGUGGUGCUGAAGGCCAGCGAUGAAGGGUGAUUUGUGUGGAAAAACGGGAAGACCAUGAGCAUGGAGGCAGAUGGCCUGUCUGUGCAUGCUGUUGCUGGUGCGGAUUUAGGUACCGUCUGGACCGGAGGCACAUGAAUCUGGUUAAAACUGCUCAUGAGACUGAACUUUGGAAGGCCUAUGCAGAAGGAAAUCACUGGAGGAAAGACUAGAAACAUUAAAGAAAAUGAGGUGAAA
This is a long non-coding RNA of Callorhinus ursinus (northern fur seal), 887 nucleotides long. RefSeq lists it as uncharacterized. NCBI's taxonomy places the organism in Eukaryota, Metazoa, Chordata, Mammalia, Carnivora, Otariidae. The record is from RefSeq and is a predicted model, not a curated record.